CACAUCUGCUCGGAACCCCAGUCUAGCUCACUGCCCCAGGCAUGCUGCGGGUCCCAGGGCUACUUCUUGUUUUCCUGGCUCCUGUCACUCAGGUAUCUUCCAACUUGAAAGGGGACAAGCUUUCAGUCACUAGUAAGAUAGGGGAGACUGCUUCGCUCACUUGUGAGCUUACACAAGAUGCCAGCUAUAUCCACUGGUACAAACACCAGAAGGGGACUGCCCCCCAACGUCUUCUCUACUACGACGUCUACUACUCAAAGAGUGUGUUCGAUUCAGGAAUCAAUGAAGCAAAAUACAGUGUUUAUAAAGUCACAGGGAGGAGCUAUACAUUUGCAAUCCUAAAUCUGGAAGACAGUGAUUCCGGGAUGUACUACUGCGCUGUCUGGGAGAAGCACAAGGUAUUUGGAGAAGGAACGAAGCUCAUGGUAGCUCCCCGUGACAGAAACCUUGCUGCAGACAUUUCCCCCAAGCCCACUAUUUUUCUUCCUUCAAUUGCUGAAAUCAACCACCAUAAGACUGGAACAUAUCUUAGUCUUCUGGAGAAAUUCUUCCCUGAUGUUAUUAAUGUUUAUUGGAAAGAAAAGAAUAGCAACAGAGUUCUGCCAUCCCAGCAGGGAAAUACCAUGAAGACCGCUGACAUGUACAUGCAGUUCAGCUGGCUGACCGUGGCUGAAAACUCAGUAGAUAAAGAACACAUAUGUGUUGUCAUACACGAGAAAAAUAGAGGAGGAGCAGAACAAGAGAUUCUUUUUCCUUCAGUAAAUGAAGUUGUCACCUCAGCUGUCCCUUCUACUGAGUCUCCAAAUGAUUGUUUGAAUGAUGAAAGCAAAGUCACUGGUACUGAUUCUACAAAAGCUUGUCUGAAAGAUAAAAGUGAAGUCACUGUUACUAAUUCUACUAAAGCUUGUCUGAAAGAUGAAAACAAUUCCCUGCAGCUGCAGCUCAUGAACACCAGUGCCUACUACACCUACCUCCUUCUCCUCCUCAAGAGCUCGGUCUACUUUGUCAUCGUCGCCUGCUGUGUGUGUAGGAGAACAGCCGUCUGUGGCCAUGGGAAGAGCUCGUGACAGAGGGGACCACAAAGGGGUCACCUUUCCUUCAUCAUCUCUUGUCUCUGAAAGUGUCUGCUGAGGAUCUAGCUGGGCUUCCUUUCUGGGUUUGGGUUAUGUCAGUUCACAUGCGUAUUCUUCUGUGUGCCAUUAUUGUGUAAGGGCUUUUCAAAGCACUGGGCAAGCAGACAGUUUGACUCCGUGACAGGGAAUUCUGCCAUCACUCGGGGGCAGGGCCCAGGGCUGGCCCAGGGGAGCCUCUCCCACCACUGUCCCCACAACCGCACCAGCUCCUCCUG
Molecule: non-coding RNA, 1348 nt
Organism: Balaenoptera musculus (blue whale)
Lineage: Eukaryota; Metazoa; Chordata; Mammalia; Artiodactyla; Balaenopteridae
Source: the annotation of a RefSeq genome assembly